UCUCCUGGAAAACGGGUGGUAAUGCCGGAUGCUCCGACUCCUCGCAUGGGGUGUCGGGAAAGAUUUCAUCGGUAUGGGAUGGGGUCGCGUCCUAUCAGGUAGUCGGCGGGGUAACGGCCCACCGAGCCUACGACGGGUAGCCGGCCUGAGAGGGCGACCGGCCACAUUGGGACUGAGAUACGGCCCAGACUCCUACGGGAGGCAGCAGUGGGGAAUAUUGCACAAUGGGCGCAAGCCUGAUGCAGCGACGCCGCGUGCGGGAUGACGGCCUUCGGGUUGUAAACCGCUUUUGAUCGGGAGCAAGCCUUCGGGUGAGUGUACCUUUCGAAUAAGCACCGGCUAACUACGUGCCAGCAGCCGCGGUAAUACGUAGGGUGCAAGCGUUAUCCGGAAUUAUUGGGCGUAAAGGGCUCGUAGGCGGUUCGUCGCGUCCGGUGUGAAAGUCCAUCGCUUAACGGUGGAUCUGCGCCGGGUACGGGCGGGCUGGAGUGCGGUAGGGGAGACUGGAAUUCCCGGUGUAACGGUGGAAUGUGUAGAUAUCGGAAAGAACAC
RNAcentral lists this ribosomal RNA (552 nucleotides) under Bifidobacterium pseudocatenulatum. Its description in RNAcentral is "bacterial SSU rRNA". It matches the Rfam family "Bacterial small subunit ribosomal RNA", at positions 146 to 709 of the family's 1533-position model. The record is from RNAcentral. Lineage: Bacteria; Bacillati; Actinomycetota; Actinomycetes; Bifidobacteriales; Bifidobacteriaceae.